This 11724-nucleotide long non-coding RNA is filed under the name Lynx pardinus (Iberian lynx). The record is from RNAcentral. Lineage: Eukaryota; Metazoa; Chordata; Mammalia; Carnivora; Felidae.
UGCGCCAGCCCUUUGGGGACCACACGUCUCGCCGGGACCAGGUGGCCAGGACUUCUGAUGUCUGUGCAGAGAGGAAGGGGAGCUUUGCUGAGGACACCCGCCUGGUGCUGCCGAAAUCCCAGAGUGUGGUGCGCAGCACAGGUAUGGCUCACAUGGCUCGGGUGCUUUCCCCGCGUGAAUGGCAGGGCCGUGUUUGGGUUCAGUUCAAAUGGUUUUCUCUUCGGGGCACGAGGCUGACAGCAACGAUGCAGAAAUUACACGAUGCAUUCCCCAGAGCUUGACUGGGUCCAAAACUAGUCAAGAUCUGAAAGGCGUGCCUUGAGACAUGGCUGAAUUCCUAUUGCGUGGAGGGCUUCCAAAAAUAGUCACUUAAUGGUGACAUCGGUUACCCUCUUAAGAGAUGCACAAAUAGAGCGCAUCCUAGCUUCUACAGCCUAUUUCUCUUAUUUCACGACAUUCCCCCCCUGCAGUAUAGGUCUUGGGAACUAAUCUCUGUAUACAUUUUUGUCAAGAGAACAAAAUCCUCUAAGUCACACAGAUACACAGACACACGCUGAAGACCAGAUGGUCUUUCAGAGACAAAUUCCAGUGAUGAGCUUUCAGUUCAUGUAGACGAGAGACGCUACGGAGGCCCCUGGGGACCAAUAUCUGGGCCCCACCGGCCGCCUGAGGGCUGGCGGCAGGCUGGGUCCUGCGGGAGCAGAAGCUGAGACGGGGUUUGGGGUGGGAGACAUGGAAUGGGAAGAAGUAGAUGGAAGGGGGAAGGCGGACUGGGCAGCAGGCCUGACACGCCCCUGACGCAGGUGGGGACUCGAGCCGGCGCUGCCCAUCACGGUCCCCCAUGUAGGGCCGAGUCGGGGCUGCCGUAUGAGGGGCACAGCAGAGAGCAAGCGUGUGAACCUGGCCGCUGCCAGCCGGUGUCACCAGAGCAGGCAACACGUCCUCCCUGGGAAGGGGGAUCUGGGGAGAACAUCUCUGUGUCUGCCACAUUUUCAUAGAUCUUCUCAAUACCAACGAAUGUUUGUUAAAAUUGGUUUUAUUACUUCCUCAUCUGGCCAAGAUGGGGCUACGGGGCGAAUUUAUCCUUCUCCCUGAAACGGUAACAACAAAGUAAACAGAAAAACGUGAAACGAUGGUUUUCAAGACACCGGACCUCAGGCAAUGAAGGAUGAUAAUUCCUAAGGGAUGGAGACCUAGUGGCCUGCAGAGGGUUCCGUGCGGGUCCUUCAGAGACCCGGGAAACACUCGUUUGUGGGAAACUCACCUCAGGUGGGGGAAGGAGCCACAGGGAAGGAUUGAGGGACAGUGCCAGAGCUCAAACAGCCCCAACAAUGACACCUGUUCCGACAAAGGAGACUGGAGAAGGUCCCACAUCAUGAGACCUUAGGACAAGCACUCUGGAGGUCUCAACCCCAGGCCCAGCUCUGCUCCAGACCCAUCCAACAGAUGAUGAGAGCAAGAACUGACAGGAUCACACUCAACUGUAUUCAGAACACAAUUUAAGACUUGUAGAAGUACAAAAAUAUCCAACAUCCUACAAGGUAACAUUCACCCUGUCUGGCCUCCGAUCAAAGAUUAUCAGGCAGGCAAUAAGCAGGAAAAUAUGGCCCACGUUGAAAACGAGAUCCAAAUCAAACCAGAAUGGAGACAGAUGUUGGCAUUCGUGAAGACAAUAAAAACUACCAGGAAUCCUGAAUGGGCUGAAAACACAGCGGAUCAGGGUUAGGGACGCCACUAAAGCAACGUUAGUGCGAAACUUACGUUAGAAAAGAGUAAAGAUUUGAAACUACCACUUCAGCUUCCACGGUCAAAAAGUACAAAAAGAAGAGCAGAGUGGGGCGCCUGGGUGGCGCAGUCGGUUAAGCGUCCGACUUCAGCCAGGUCACGAUCUCGCGGUCCGUGAGUUCGAGCCCCGCGUCAGGCUCUGGGCUGACGGCUCAGAGCCUGGAGCCUGUUUCCGAUUCUGUGUCUCCCUCUCUCUCUGCCCCUCCCCCGUUCAUGCUCUGUCUCUCUCUGUCCCAACAAUAAAAAAAAAAAAAAAAAAAAAAAAAAAAAAACGUUGAAAAAAAAAAGAAGAGCAGAGUAAGGGGCUCCUGGGUGGCUCGGUCGGUUAGGUGUCCGACUUGGGCUCAGGUCAUGAUCUCACGGUUUGUGGGUUCAAGGCCCGCAUCAGGCUCUGUGCUGACAUCUCAGAUCCUGGAGCCUGUUCAGGUUCUGCCCUUCCCCUGCUCAUGUUCUGUCUGUCUGUCUCUCUCUCUUUCUCUCAAAAAUAAAUAAACGUUUUAAAAAAUGUAAAAAAAAAAAAAAAAAAGAAGAGCAGAGUAAACCCAAGUAAGCAGAAGAAAAUAAUUUAAUAAAGACCAAAGCACAAAACAAGGAGACAGAAAACCAAAACAGCAGAGAAAAUCAAUGAACCAAGAACUAGGUCUUCCAGAAGAUGGAUGGAAUCAAACCUUUGGGCAGGCUGCCCAGGGAAAGGGCAGAGAGGGCAGGAGGAACACAGUUUACCCACAUCGGGAAUGAGACUCAGCAUCACUACACAUUCUGCAGGCACUGAAAAGACAAUAUAACGAAAGGGCGGACUCCAUGCUUGAUGUCUGACUUCUGAGAACCUCUAAGCUACAGGUCCCCCUCCCUCCCACCUCACAUCUGGGCAGCUGGUAGACAAGCCCAAGUCAGCCCGGCCUGUGCGUGGGAGCCUUCAGACCAGUCCAUUUCUCUGCUUCCUCCAGAAGGCCGCCCUCGAUGAGGAGGCAACAGGUAAUGAGGGACUGUUGCAGACAACUGUAUGUCGAUAAGCCCACAACUCAGGUUAAAUUAUGUGAAGGGCACCAACUAUCAAAGAUCUUCUGGGGCGCCUGGGUGUCUCAGUCAGUUAAGCAUCCAUCUCUUGAUUUCGGCUCAGGCCAUGAUCCCAAGUAGGGCUGUGCACUGACAGCAUGGAGCCUGCUUGGGAUUCUUUCUCUCCCUCUCUCUCUGCCCCUCCCCUUCUCUCUCUCUCUCUCUCUCAAAAUAAAAAAAUAAAAAAAUAAAAAGAUCUCCUGAGAAGAAAUCAGCUGCAAGAAUAGCUAUUUGGUUAUUAAAGUUAAAUUUGUAAACACCGUCCCAGGCCCACACAGGUCCACUGGGGAAUUCUACCCAACACUCAAGGAAGAAGCAAUAGCAAAUAUACACAAACUUCCCAAAAAUCGAAGAAAUGGGGAUAUGCGUCCAUUCAUUCUGUAAGACCAGCAUUGCCCUGAAACCAAAACCAGGCAAAGAAAACCACAACCAGUAUCCCUUAGGGUCUCUGAUGAAAGAAUUCUUCUCAAAAUUUUACACGUCAAAUCAAAAACUAUAUGAGGGAGCUAAUACAUCAUAUUAUAUAUAUAGCUUAUAUAGCUAAUACAUCAAUAAGGGGGUGUCCCAGGAAUACAGGGUCGGUUUAACAUUCAAAACAAUCAAUGUUACAUCUGAAACAAAUAGAAUGCUAUAUGUCGAUUAUAUCUCAAUUAAAAAAAAUAAAUGUGACAAAGAAGGAGACAUUAUAGUGCUGUGAGCCACAACUCACAAACGAGAUAUAAAAAUCUGAAUAUGUGCCAAAACACAGCAGCGAUUUUAGAAUACAGAAACCGCAGGGCAUGCGAAGACAAAUUUUUGAGUCACACGAAUAGGACACCUUAACAUACCAUUUGCAGUACAAAAACCUAAGGCUCCAGAAGACCGACACAAUGUAAUAAACGCGCUAGAGCUUAUUGAAAUAUUUAUAUGACACCUUGGUAAUGGAAAACAUUCUUUUCAAGUACACAUUGAAUAGUCACACAAAUUGGUCUUAUUUUAGGACACAAAAAUUAUAUCACUGAGUUUCAUAAAAAAGAGAAAAAAAUAUUAUAAAACUUUCUGAUCAAAAUGCAAUUAACAUAGAAAUUAACAACAAAAGGGGCACGUGGGUGGCUCAGUCUUUCGAGCUGCCGACUUUGGCUCAGGUCAUGAUCUCACAGCUCGUGAGUUCGAGCCCCGCAUCAGGCUCUGUGCUGACAGAUCGGAGCCUGGAGCCUGCUUCGGAUCUUGUGCUUCCCUCUCUAUCUGCCCCAACCCACUCGCAUUCUGUCUCUCUCUCAAAAAUAAAUAAACAUUUAAAAAAAUUAAAAAAAAAAGAAAUUAACAACAAAAGUGCAAGAAGGCCUUCUACCUGGAAAUUUUAAGAAUUUAAACAACUGAAUGAAAUGGCACAUACAAAACAAACUUAACAGAAUCUCUAAAACAUAAUGAUAAUAAAAACACUGCAUAUCAGAAUCUAUAUAAUACAUUUUAAAGAAUAAUCAAAGGAAGCUACACAAUCUUAAACACAUGCCAGUAACAUGGAAAGAAAAUAAAGGAAUUAAAUUCUCACCUCAAAAACUAAAUAAACUAAAAGGAAAAACAAGUGAAUUAAUAGAUAUAAUAGCAGAAAUGGCUAGAAUAGAGAAAUAAUAGAUAUAAUUAACAAAAUAAAAUCUUGAUUUAUUAAAGUGAUACCAAAAUAAACCACUAAAUAAACUAAUCAAGAAAGAGAAAAGAUAAAAACAUACGAAAUAAGAAAUGAGAAGGGAAAAAGAACCAUUGGAUCAAAUGAAUAUUUAAAAAAAAAUUUUUUUUUACAUUUAUUUGUGAGAGACCGAGAAAGACAGAGCAUGAGUGGGGGAGGGGCAGACAGAGAGGGAGACACAGAAUCCAAAGCAGGCUCCAGGCUCCGAGCUGUCAGCGCAGAGCCCGACGCGGGACUCGAACCCACGAACUGCAAGAUCAUGACCCGAGCCAAAGUCGGACGCUUAAGCGACUGAGCCACCCAGGCGCCCCUCAAAUGAAUAUUUUUUAAUAUAAGACUACUUUUAAUGAAAUGUAACAUCUAGAUGACAUGGAAAGUUUCCUAAGACACAAUAGCUUAACGUAACUGAUGCCACUGGAGAGAGGAAGCUUCUGUACAACAAAAUAAAGUUAUCAAGAAACCAUCCCACCCAAAACCACCUGGCCCCGUUGUUUCCAAAGAAUUCUACCAAAUCUUCCACUUGCUUCAGAGCGCAGAACAGGGAAGACUUUCAAGUGCCUUUUAUGAAGCAAGUCAGAUGAUGGGACAUAAUCCUGAAAAGACAAUAUCGAAAAAGGAAAAUUUACAAUUAUUACUUAUAAAUAACCCGUGCAAUUACAGUAAAUAUACUAGCAGAGAAACCACAACACCACAUUAAUAUAAUAAUAUACCAGGGCCGAGUGGGAUUUUUUUCAAAAGUGAACACACUGAUACGGAAAGUUCAUACGGAAAAAAAUUUUAAAGGCAAGGAUAGCCAGGAAAACACGAAAAUGGAAAGGCUCCGAGGGAGGAUUAGACCUACCAGGUACUGGAAAAGACUAUGAAGCCUCUAUAAUUGCGGAACUGGUACCGGAGCAGACAGGCCAAUUUACGGAACAGAAAGUCCCAAACCAGACCUGAGAAUAUGUGACAGUGCAGUGUAUGGUGAGGGUGGCACCCACAUCACUGGGCCCAAGGUAAACUUUCCAAUAAAUGGCGCCAGAACUGGGUGGACAUUUAGAAAAAGAGAAAAUCAGAUCUAUGCCUUAUACGUUACAUUAGAAUAAACCCCAAAUGAAUCAGAUAUCUGAAAGUAAAACCGACAACAAUAACAAAAAAAUAUAUAGUUCCCUAUAAGAAUAAGAAAAAAAAAUCAUAUGGUCAUAACAGAAAAAAAUUGAAAAAAUUUAACAUCCAUUUUGAUAAAAACUCAGCAGUUUAGGAAUAAUCUCAUAUUCUCUGACUCUCUGACACCAACUAGGUGUCCAACGCUAAGUAAAUGCUGACACUAAUUACCCGGAGUUAGUUCAGGCCUCAUAGGCUAAGCACUCAGUCCUCCACGACUACCCCUACUUUGGACACCAGCUGAAAGUCUGAAGUUGCCAUAACCCCCCUCCUCAGUUUUUUGUUGUUUGCUUUUUUUUUUGUUUUUUUUUUUUUAUGAGGAAACUGGUGUCUUUUAAAAAAUUUUUUUUAAUGUUUAUUUAUUUUUGUUAAUUUUUUUUCAACGUUUAUUUAUUUUUGGGACAGAGAGAGACAGAGCAUGAACGGGGGAGGGGCAGAGAGAGAGGGAGACACAGAAUCGGAAACAGGCUCCAGGCUCUGAGCCAUCAGCCCAGAGCCCGACGCGGGGCUCGAACUCACGGACCGCGAGAUCGUGACCUGGCUGAAGUCGGACGCUUAACCGACUGCGCCACCCAGGCGCCCCUGUUUAUUUAUUUUUGAGAAAGAGAGAGACAGAGCACGAGCAGGGGAGGGGCAGAGAGAGAGGGAGACACAGAAUCUGAAGCAGGCUCCAGGCUCCAAGCUGUCGGCACAGAGCUGGAUGCGGGGCUGGAACUCAUGAACUGUGAGAUCAUGACCUGAGCCAAAUUGGACGCUUGACUGACUGAGCCACCCAGGUGCACCCCCCUCAGUUUUAAUAAUUCACUAGAACAACUCACAGACCUCAAGAAAACACUUGAUUUGCAUUCAUGAGUUUAUUGUAAGGAUACAAUUCAGGAACAUUCCAUACAAUGGUACGGGGCAAGGUAAGGGCUGGGGCUGAGGGGUGGGACAGCGCAAAGCUUCCACACCUUCUCUUCAUGCACCACUGAUGUGUUCACCAAUCUGGAAACUCCCUGAAUCCUGUCAUUUAGAGGUUUUUAUGGAUCUCCUAUCACAUGGGGGAUGAAUGAUCAAAUCAUUGGCCACUGAUGAUGGACCUCAGUCUCUGGUCCCUCUCCCUUCCCCAGAGGUGGAGGGGUGGGGCUGGAAGUUCCAACCCACUAGGCAAGGCUUGGCCUUUCUGGCAGCCAGUCCCAUCCUAAAGCCAUCUAGGGGUCCACCAAGAGUCACCUCAUUAGCGUAAAGUCAGACCUGGUAGAAGGGAGCUUGUGAAUAAUGAAGAUGACCUUAUCACACCUAUUACCCAGGAAAUUUCAAGAGUUUUAGGAGCUCCGUGGAGCACUCAGGUGGCUCAUACAUUGAGCGUCCAACUCUUGAUUUUGGCUCCAGUCAUGGUCUCACGGUUCAUGAGUUCAAGCCCUGUGACAGGCUCUGCGCCGACAGCCUAGAGUCUGCUUGGGAUUCUCCCUCUCUUUCUCUCUCUCUGCUCCUCCUUCACUCGCUCGAACACACACACUCUCUAAACAAACAAACAAACAAACAAACUUUAAAAAAAAAGAGUUUUAGGAGCUUCAUGCCAGGAAGCAAGGAUAAAGACCAAAUAUAUAUUUACCAUUAUACCACAGAAUACCACAUUAUACCACAAAAUAAAGCAACAAUAACAGGCAUCUACGAAACUUUCCACCAACAUCAUACUUAAUCUUGAAACACUGAAGUUUUUCCUUCAAGACUAGGAACGAGACAGAAAUGUCUGUUCUUGUCACGGGUACUUAACAUUGUACUGGAGGUUCUAACCAGUGCAAUAAGGCAAGAAAAAGAAAUUUUAAAACCAGAUAAGAAAGGAAGAAGCAAAACUGUCUUUCUUCAUAGAUAAUGUCAUCAUCUGUGUAAAAAAAUAUGAUGGAAAUACAAGCUACUAGAACUAAUCAGGAGGUUUAACUAUGUUGAAGGUUACGAGAUCAAUAUACAAAAAUUAGCAACAAACCAUUAAAAAUUUUUUUAAUUUAAAUAUUUAUAAUAGCAUCAAAGAAAUGAAUAUAAAAUGCUUUGUGGAAAAGUCGUAUAAAAGAUAGGUGACAUCUUUACCCUAGCCACUAUUAAAUAUUGCUGAUAGGAAUACAGAGGACCAAAAUGAAUGGAAGCAUAUGUGGUUUGUGCACAGGGAGACUCCGUAUUGUUGAGUUCAGUUCUCCCCGGACUGCUCUAUAAAGUUAAUGCAGUCCCAUUUAACACCCCAAGGUGUUUCUAAGACAGAGUUAUUCUAGUGAUCAAAUGGAAAAGCAAGGAUUCUAGAAUAAAACCAAAAAUGUUUUGGAAAAGCAAGGUGAAGGGCUAACAUUGCCUGGUUCAAGAAUUAUUAUGAAGUGAGGGUAAUCAAAACAGCAUUAUAUUGCAUAAAGAUAGACAAGUGGGCCUCCAGAAAGAGACCCACACAUAUAUGGACAACUGAGUUUUGACACAGCCGCAAAGGUUAUGCAGUGGAGAAAGGAUGGCUUUUUUAACAAAUAGUGCAGGCACCAUUGGCAAUCCGUAUGCACAGAGGUGGAAAGAAAGAGGGAAGGAAGAAGGGAAGGAAGGAAGGGAAAGAGGGAGGGAGGGAGGAGGGAAAGAAAGAAGGAGAGAGCACAAGAAAGAGAAAGAAAGAAAGAAAGAAAGAAAGAAAGAAAGAAAGAAAGAAAGAAAAAGAAAUGAACCAGGAUCCAGCAUACUACAUGCAAAAGUCAACCCUACCUAGGUCGUAGACCUGUAUUUAGAAAACACCGGAAACUAUACCACUUGUAGAAGAAAACAGGAGAAAAAAAUUGUAAAGCACAUGUCUGGCAAAAGAUAAAUAAUAUAUAUAGAACUCUCAAACUGAACAAUAAGAAAACAAGUCAAUAAAAACAAUCUAAGUGUUUGCACAGACUCUUCACCGGCAAAUAGCACAUGAAAAGCUUCUCAGCGUCACUGGUCAUAGGGGGAAAUGCAAACAGAAGCCACAGUGAGAUCCCACUUGCACCAUUAGGAAGACACCAAGUGUUGGCGAGGAUGUGGAGGAAGGGGGGCUCUCAUACCUGGUCGCUGGGAACGUGAAACGGUAUGAACACUUUGGGAAAAGAGUUUGGCAGUUUUUUUAAAAAAGUUGAACGUGUGAUCCAGUCAUUCCCAUCCCAGGUUUCAAAACCCAAGAGGCAAGGAAACCUACAUGCAUACAAAGACUUGCACACGAAUGUUCAUAGCAGCUUUCUUACAAGAGACAAAAACUGGAAACCACCCAAACAUCCAGACAAAUGCACAAACAAAUGGAAAGACACAGCAACCUGUAAAUGCACCUGAAAAUUGCUCUGUGAAAGAAGCCAGACAAAAAAGAAUACGAUCCCAUUUAUAUAAAAUCCUAGAGACUGAAAAGUAGCAUGCAGUUAGAGACCGAAGGGCGGGGACUGCUGGGGGAGGGCGGGUGGAGGACGGGCGGCCGGGCAGACGGGAGGAAAUUACAAAGGCACAAGCAUAGAUGUGUUCAUGACGGUGGUUGUGGUGAUGGCUUCCACUCAUCAAAUAUGUUUUGAAACCUAUCAAACUGGAUACUUUCUGCAUGUCAGUUACACUCAGUAAAGAACUGGGUUUCCUGCACUCCUCUGAGCCUGUGGCAUUAUCAGUAAAGAAAGCAUCACCUCCCUCAUUCGUUCAUCUGGGUGUUUGCAUCUGUUGGGUGCCCGUUGGGUGCUCGACACUGGGCAUCCAACAGUGAGUGAGAUGGAGGCCCCGCCCAGUGAAUUCACGCCCCUGAUGCCAUGCCACAGACACGUGCGCUGACCACCGGGUGUUUGUCAACCAGUAGCAUCUCGCUUCUGUUGGAGGAAUAGCGAUGUUUUAAGCUGAAGUUCGUUGGUGAGGGACAAACACCAAUAGGUCUGGGUGCUGGCCACACGGUACACAUGCCAAGUGGUCCCACUCCCAGCUCACUCCCGGCGGGAGAAUCCAGUUGUAUUUUUUUUUUAAUGUUUAUUUAUUUCUGAAAGAGAGAGCAGAGCAUGAGUGGGGGAGGGGCAGAGAGAGAGAGAGAGAGAGAGAGAGAGAGAGAGAAUCCGAAGCAGGCGCCAGGCUCCGAACUGUCAGCACAGAGUCCGACGCGGGGCUUGAACUCACGAACUGUGAGAUCAUGACCUGAGCCGAAGUCGGACGUUCAACCGACUGAGCCACCCAGGUGCCCCAAAUCCAGUCGUAUUUUAAAUGAGAUAGGGGUUGGGGACAUAAGUAAGCAAGGCUGUUCUUUCGUGGGCUUCUCCUUGGGAGUUUUGGUCCGGUUCCAAAACAAUCUCACUGUGUCGCCUAUUCCUUAUCAUAAACACAGAAAUUCAGAUGACUCAUUCAGUGUUGGAAUCCGUGUUACAUUUUUUAUUGUUGUAGUUGUGGCUCUGUUCUCUACACGGAGCCUAAAUUACUUAGAAAAUACAUCAUUUUAUAUUUAUCACAAAAUAGAUCAUUUGACAAGUGUAAGAAAGCCCACCACUUGUGGCAUUUAAUAUUUCUUGUGUAGGAUGGAACUGUAAGUUUUCUGGAAGCGAAGGAACUACCAAACUAAUACUAAAAAGUCAAGAGAAACAGAAAGAGGGAUUUAAAAUCUUACAAGACCCAAGUGCGUGACGGAAACAGAUGAGAUCGUUGGCCUGCUCUUUGCCCACUGCUUUCUCUCUGGCCUUCGAGAGCCCCCUCCCCACCCAGGAAACCCUCCUGUCCAUGGCCCUAGCACUUUCCAGACUGGUGAGAGUGGGCACGGCCGCUUGGCCUCUCCCGGCUGUCCCCGCUUCUGUGGCUCGCCUCUGCCGCUGCCCCCGCAGUGCCCCGGCCUCGCUGCGCCCCCUGUUCCCUCACCAGACAUGUCCCCUCCCCGGCAGCCCGCCCUCUCUGGCCCGGACACUGCAGUGGCUCCCACUAACAGCCGGCUUCUGCCGUUCCCACGUUCAAAAUGCCCACCUGCUGGCGGGGUGGGGGGGGGGCCACAUACUGCGAAUGAAUCCACAGUCUGGACCCCCUGGCCCUCCACCCUCCACACCCGCCCUCUGAGCCGGGCCGCGUCUCAGCCUCAUGGCCUGACGGCUCCCUUUGUCCCCAUGGCCUUUCUGCCUGGACAGCCUUCCCUCAGACGAGACCGCUGCUCGACCAUCGUUCUGUCCUGUCCUUGGUGGACAGCAUCUCCAAGACGCCCUCCCAGAGCACCGCAAGCUCAGGGCCGCCUCCUCCCGGACCUUCUGCUGUUGCCCCCACCGGCUGCGCAUCCUUCCGUCUUUCUCCAGGUCCGUCAGCACCCGGGACCCGUGUAUACGUGUGUACGUGUCCUGUCUGUCCACGUUGGUUGCCCUCAGGAGGAUCAGCCCAGUGGGGCAAAUAAGACCCCUUGGCACCGCGGGGCAGGCGACGAAUGGCGAUGAAGGAUGGCAGGCAUAUCUGUUUGUCCGCUCGACGGGCAGCCUGCAAACGGCUUCGGACCGGCGACUCCUGGUGUGCUCUCAGCAGGGGAGAGUCACGUCAUUUCCAGGUUGGCAUAUGAUGUUAGGAUGUGUGACCAGGGUGACCUACGGUGACACACAAGACCUGUAGCAACGUGUCAGGCGCAAGAACCCGCCACUGCCGGAGUCAGGGGGAGGUGCGGGUAGGGCGAGCUCAGCGUGUGUGGCGCCCAUCGUGUGCGGUGUGGUCGGCAGCCCAGGGAACCGUCCUCUGACGCCGUUGCCUCCAGAACCCGUGAUCCCUUUUCCACGAGCAGGAGUCUCAGACACAGGACUAUAUGCAGACGUUAGGUCCCAGAUGACGCCAGGGUCUGUGGGAUGUCACCACGCCUCCCGCAAGGGAAGACUAGUCCCAGAGCUGACCCGGGGCUGAGGUUCACAGGACCAGCGGGUGACGGACAGGGGGACCAGACAGGGAGGCGCUGUGGCCGCGGACAUCCCAGAGCAGGAGAUUGUGACUGUUUCCAGGACUAUCACAACGGGUGGGGCUGAGGUUCAUUCCCCUCAAAAUUAUUUGGGCGCAUUCUUCUAUGUUUUGCCACUCUUUCAACAAGGGUCUGCAUCUGAUUAUAAUAAAAACCCAUGAGCCGUGGCUUUUGAAAAGUG